Molecule: long non-coding RNA, 1173 nt
Organism: Sebastes umbrosus (honeycomb rockfish)
Lineage: Eukaryota; Metazoa; Chordata; Actinopteri; Perciformes; Sebastidae
Exons: 4
Source: RefSeq, a predicted model, not a curated record
UGAAACCAGACUCACUCACCUGAUGACAGCAGCAGCAGCACCAGCAGCAGCAGCGCUCUCUCUCUAACCGGGGCCCGAUGUAAAUGCAAGAAGAAAUAACCUGGAAAAAUUCAUUACCUGCUAAAGUUGAGGACAUUUCUCUCCAGAGUCUGCUAAAACAGAUCACGUCAGCAUCAUGUCAGCCUACAGAGUGUGUGAGAGAGAGGGGGGUGUGUUUCUGUCUUUGGUUAUCUAGCUGUAUGAGUUUUAAAUACCUGUCAUAAAGCUAGAUAACCGAAAGUAGAAAUGACUUCCGUAAUAUUGCCUUCAUUCCCCAAAGAAAGCAGACUCCUCAGGCUUUACACUCUUAAAGGCUUCUGAUUAACAACGUUGAAUGAUGGGGGGAUUUCUUGAAAAGAGAACGAUCAUUAAAAGAAAAACGAGGAGAGAGAGAGGGAAAAACGGUUGGUCCGGAAUUGCCACCUCCUCCUCUCCCCUCCCCCCCCCUCACCCUUUUUGCCCAAGAGCCUUCUUCUAAUGCCAUCUGUACUGCCAACGGGGGACACUUUGCCCGUGCCAGGAGGCGGACAAAGACCCUGCCGGAUCCCCGGAGUAUGGGCGCGCUCAGAGGAGCCAUCUUGGGGAAGAUGUUGCCGCGACACCUAAAAUGGCUGGGGCUGGCAUACGAGGAUGGGACAGGAUCUGCAAGCCUUUCUGUAGGAACCUGCCUAGGAGGCACGAGGAGAUCGUGGACCAGAGACUCUCACCACAACAUGAAUUCAGGAGCUUAUCAGUCACCUGAGCGUGAAGAGUCCUACUGUAUUUUAAAGGACUAUAAAAACAAAAGAGCUGUUCUGUAAGCCUGAAAUGUAUAUCUCAAAAUAUGUCUGUUUUCAAUGAAGAUACCAGCUUUAUUUUAAGAUACUGUAUCAAUGAUAAAGUGUGUGAUCUGAAAUGUUUACACAGAUCUGUUAUUUUCAAAAUUGCAAAUAAAUAAACCUUGAAUGUUCCUACUUAUAAUUCUCUCUCAAUACAUUAUUUUCCAUAGCUAAUGCAUGUUUUAUUUAAUCAUUUAUGAAUUAAUUAUGUCUAAAUUAAAAUAGUCAUUAAUAGGAUAUAAAUGCUUUACUGAUAAAAUGUAUUGUGUUAAAUUCCCUUCUGACACUUUGAAAUAAAAUAAUGGAAAUAUCAUCA